This is a regulatory RNA element of Rhodanobacter spathiphylli B39, 116 nucleotides long. It matches the Rfam family "SAM riboswitch aptamer (S box leader)". Rfam says of the family: The SAM riboswitch is found upstream of a number of genes which code for proteins involved in methionine or cysteine biosynthesis in Gram-positive bacteria. The record is from Rfam. NCBI's taxonomy places the organism in Bacteria, Pseudomonadati, Pseudomonadota, Gammaproteobacteria, Lysobacterales, Rhodanobacteraceae.
CACUCAUCGAGACCGGCUGAGGGACAGGCCCUUUGAAGCCGGGGCAACCUGCGGAAUGUUUCCGCCACGGUGCCAACUCCUGCGGGGAUGCUUCGGCAUCCACCGGUAGAUGGGCG